RNAcentral lists this ribosomal RNA (466 nucleotides) under uncultured bacterium. Its description in RNAcentral is "partial 16S ribosomal RNA". It matches the Rfam family "Bacterial small subunit ribosomal RNA", at positions 28 to 507 of the family's 1533-position model. The record is from RNAcentral.
GAUGAACGCUGGCGGCGUGCUUAACACAUGCAAGUCGAACGGAAAGGCCAGUGCUUGCUCUCGUACUCGAGUGGCGAACGGGUGAGUAACACGUGGGGGACCUGCCCUGUACUUCGGGAUAAGCGUGGGAAACUGGGUCUAAUACCGGAUAGGACAACUUUUCGGAUAGUGUUGUGGAAAGCUGUUGCGGUAGGGGAUGAGCUCGCGUCCUAUCAGCUUGUCGGGGUGGUAAUGUCAUACCAAGGCGUCGACGGGUAGCCGGGCUGGGAGGGUGUACGGACCGAUUGGGACGGGGCUACGGCACGGACUAGUCCGGGACGGAAGGGUGGGGAAUAUUACAUAAUGGGCGGAAGCCUGAUGUAACGCCGCGGCGUGGGGGAUGAAGGGAUUGGGGUUGUAAACUAAUCUCGUUAGGGACGAAGCGUUAGUGACGGUACCUGGAGAAGAAGCGACGGCUAACUACGUG